Molecule: ribosomal RNA, 850 nt
Filed under: uncultured bacterium
Lineage: Bacteria
Description: bacterial SSU rRNA
Rfam family: Bacterial small subunit ribosomal RNA
Source: RNAcentral
ACUUUCCUGCAGUCGAGCGGCAGCGCGGGGCAACCUGGCGGCGAGCGGCGAACGGGUGAGUAAUGCAUCGGAACAUGUCCAUGUCGUGGGGGAUAGCCCGGCGAAAGCCGGAUUAAUACCGCAUACGCCCGAGAGGGGAAAGUGGGGGACCGCAAGGCCUCACGCGAUUGGGUUGGCCGAUGUCCGAUUAGCUAGUUGGCGGGGUAAAGGCCCACCAAGGCGAUGAUCGGUAGCUGGUCUGAGAGGAUGAUCAGCCACACUGGGACUGAGACACGGCCCAGACUCCUACGGGAGGCAGCAGUGGGGAAUUUUGGACAAUGGGGGCAACCCUGAUCCAGCCAUUCCGCGUGAGUGAAGAAGGCCUUCGGGUUGUAAAGCUCUUUUGUCCGGAACGAAACGGUGGACGUGAACAUCGUCCGCUACUGACGGUACCGGAAGAAUAAGCACCGGCUAACUACGUGCCAGCAGCCGCGGUAAUACGUAGGGUGCGAGCGUUAAUCGGAAUUACUGGGCGUAAAGCGUGCGCAGGCGGUUUUGUAAGCCAGAUGUGAAAUCCCCGGGCUUAACCUGGGAAUGGCAUUUGGGACUGCAAGGCUGGAGUGCGGCAGAGGAGACUGGAAUUCCUGGUGUAGCAGUGAAAUGCGUAGAUAUCAGGAGGAACACCGAUGGCGAAGGCAGGUCUCUGGGCUGACACUGACGCUCAUGCACGAAAGCGUGGGGAGCAAACAGGAUUAGAUACCCUGGUAGUCCACGCCCUAAACGAUGUCNACUGGUUGUUGGGGGUUUGACACUCUCAGUAACGAAGCUAACGCGUGAAGUCGACCGCCUGGGGAGUACGGCCGCAAGGUUA